Molecule: ribosomal RNA, 506 nt
Filed under: uncultured bacterium
Lineage: Bacteria
Description: partial 16S ribosomal RNA
Rfam family: Bacterial small subunit ribosomal RNA
Source: RNAcentral
GAUGAACGCUGGCGGUAGGCCUAACACAUGCAAGUCGAACGGCAGCACAGAGGAGCUUGCUCCUUGGGUGGCGAGUGGCGGACGGGUGAGGAAUACAUCGGAAUCUACUUUUUCGUGGGGGAUAACGUAGGGAAACUUACGCUAAUACCGCAUACGACCUACGGGUGAAAGCAGGGGAUCUUCGGACCUUGCGCGAUUGAAUGAGCCGAUGUCGGAUUAGCUAGUUGGCGGGGUAAAGGCCCACCAAGGCGACGAUCCGUAGCUGGUCUGAGAGGAUGAUCAGCCACACUGGAACUGAGACACGGUCCAGACACCUACGGGAGGCAGCAGUGGGGAAUAUUGGACAAUGGGCGCAAGCCUGAUCCAGCCAUACCGCGUGGGUGAAGAAGGCCUUCGGGUUGUAAAGCCCUUUUGUUGGGAAAGAAAUCCAGCCGGCUAAUACCUGGUUGGGAUGACGGUACCCAAAGAAUAAGCACCGGCUAACUUCGUGCCAGCCGCCGCAGUAA